This 466-nucleotide ribosomal RNA is filed under the name uncultured bacterium. Its description in RNAcentral is "partial 16S ribosomal RNA". It matches the Rfam family "Bacterial small subunit ribosomal RNA", at positions 339 to 795 of the family's 1533-position model. The record is from RNAcentral.
CUACGGGACGCAGCAGUGGGGAAUAUUGGACAAUGGGGGAAACCCUGAUCCAGCAAUGCCGCGUGUGUGAAGAAGGCCUGCGGGUUGUAAAGCACUUUCGGUUGGGAGGACUGCUUCUAGCACUAAUAUUGUUGGAAGUUGACGUUACCUUCAGAAGAAGCACCGGCUAACUCCGUGCCAACAGCCGCGGUGAAUACGGAGGGUGCAAGCGUUAAUCGGAAUUACUGGGCGUAAAGCGCGCGUAGGCGGCUAGAUCAGUCGGGUGUGAAAGCCCCGGGCUUAACCUGGGAACUGCAUCCGAUACUGUCUAGCUUGAGUACAGGAGAGGAGAGUGGAAUUCCACAUGUAGCGGUGAAAUGCGUAGAUAUGUGGAGGAACACCAAUGGCGAAGGCAGCUCUCUGGCCUGAUACUGACGCUGAGGUGCGAAAGCGUGGGGAGCAAACAGGAUUAGAUACUCCCGUAGUC